RNAcentral lists this ribosomal RNA (237 nucleotides) under uncultured bacterium. RNAcentral describes it as "partial 16S ribosomal RNA". It matches the Rfam family "Bacterial small subunit ribosomal RNA", at positions 15 to 235 of the family's 1533-position model. The record is from RNAcentral.
GAUCCGGCUCAGGAUGAACGCUGGCGGCGUGCUUAACACAUGCAAGUCGAGCGAAGCACAUAAGUUUGAUUCUUCGGAUGAAGACUUUUGUGACUGAGCGGCGGACGGGUGAGUAACGCGUGGGUAACCUGCCUCAUACAGGGGGAUAACAGUUAGAAAUGGCUGCUAAUACCGCAUAAGACCACAGUACUGCAUGGUACAGUGGUAAAAACUCCGGUGGUAUGAGAUGGACCCGCG